ACUUUCAAAUUCCAUCUCAACUACAACAUCUCUAUGCACCAAACCCAAAUCACAAGUGCCACUUUUUUCAUUACCUGCUUCCCAAAUAAUUCAAUCUCAGCCGUCGCUGCUGCUCUGCCGGUCUCGUCUGUUGCUGCUACUCCGUCGGCAAAGCUUCGUCCUCUUCGGCAAACGGCCAUCACUGACCAAUGUUUGGCUACAGUGAAGGAUCUCUCAGAUUUGGCCGGAUUUUCAAGUGGUAAAUAUAGUGUAUUCUUAGAUCUGGCUGGAUUUUUGUUUGUCUCUCGUGAUGAAAAGCCUCGAAGUCUCAUUCUCAGAUUUGGCCGGAUUUUGGUAAAUACAGUAUAAUAGUAUAUUCUCAGAUCUGGCCGGAUUUUAGUUCGUCUCUAUUUUUAGUUUUAGUAUAAUGUAUAUAAUAUUUUUCUUGGCCAAAAGACGGCAUCUACGGCAAAAUUUUUUUGUUUUGUUGUUAUUGAGUCACAUACAAUGAUACAGUACAUACAUUUUAUUCUCAGAUAUGACCGGAUUUCAAAAGGUGAAUAUAGAGUAAAUAUAUGGAUUUUAGUUCAUCUCUGGUGACUUGAAGCUUGGAAGCCUCAUUCUCCGAUCACUGGAUUUUCAAAUGAUAAAUAUUGUAUAUAUAGUGUAUUCUAGAAUAUGGAGGAAUAUUUAUUCGUCUCCAUUUUAAGUAUAUAUACAGUGUAUACAAUAUUUUGCUUGGCCGAAAAAUGCCAUCUAAGACUAACUUUCUUCUC
Molecule: long non-coding RNA, 755 nt
Filed under: Nicotiana tabacum (common tobacco)
Lineage: Eukaryota; Viridiplantae; Streptophyta; Magnoliopsida; Solanales; Solanaceae
Description: long non-coding RNA (NTAB_LNC019617)
Source: RNAcentral